GAUGAAGAACGUAGCGAAAUGCGAUAAGUAGUGUGAAUUGCAGAAUUCAGUGAAUCAUCGAAUCUUUGAACGCACAUAGCGCCCCUCGGUAUUCCGUGGGGCAUGCCUGUUCGAGCGUCAUUUAACCCCUCAAGCCUAGCUUGGUAUUGGGUGCUUGUCCCGCCUCUCGCGCGGCGACUCACCUCAAAGUCAUUGGCAGCCCGCAUCUCGCCGGCCGUGAGCGCAGCACAGACGCGCUCUUGGCAACGACGGAUCGGCUCUCCAAAAGCUUAUUUCAACCACUGACCUCGGAUCAGGUAGGGAUACCCGCUGAACUUAAGCAUAUCAAUAAGCGGAGGA
This 339-nucleotide unclassified non-coding RNA is filed under the name soil metagenome. Its description in RNAcentral is "partial contains 5.8S ribosomal RNA, internal transcribed spacer 2, and large subunit ribosomal RNA". The stretch from base 1 to 120 matches the Rfam family "5.8S ribosomal RNA", at positions 35 to 154 of the family's 154-position model. The record is from RNAcentral.